GGUUGCGAUCAUACCAGCACUAAUGCACCGGAUCCCAUCAGAACUCCGCAGUUAAGCGUGCUUGGGCGAGAGUAGUACUAGGAUGGGUGACUCCCUGGGAAGUCCUCGUGUUGCAACCC
RNAcentral lists this ribosomal RNA (119 nucleotides) under Helianthus annuus (common sunflower). The record is from RNAcentral. Lineage: Eukaryota; Viridiplantae; Streptophyta; Magnoliopsida; Asterales; Asteraceae.